GGUCAGGAGAUUGAGACCAUCCUGGCUAACACGGUGAAACCCCGUCUCUACUAAAAAUACAAAAAAAUUAGCCGGGCGUGGCGGCGGGCGCCUGUAGUCCCAGCUACUUGGGAGGCUGAGGCAGGAGAAUGGUGCGAACCCGGGAGGCAGAUUUUGCAGAGAGCCGAGAUCGUGCCACUGCACUCCAGCCUGGGCGACAGAGCAAGACUCCGUCUCAAAACAAAAAACAAACAAACAAAUAUGGAGCAUUCUGAUAUGAAUAAGACACUUGCUCACUUCUCAAUUCCUUGGUGUCCAGCUCUACAAGUGUAUAUAGACUUCCAAAGAAUAUUUAAAUCCUUUAACAAAAAUGCCACCUAAGAAAAUAUGAAAUACUUCAGUCUGUCUGUCAGUGCUCACUUCCUGUCUAGAAACUUUCAGGCUCCGGCACAAAUGAACCAUGUUCUUCGCCUAAGUCAUUUAUGGAACAUCUGCUUUCGGUUUAGCAUCAGUGUGCUAUUAAUCCAGGUCUUCCAAGAAACAAAUGCCAAGAUGGUAUUAAACAUGAAAUGAUUUUAAUUGUUUACAUGCCUGAAAGUAAAUAAAGAGGGUGCCAGCUAAGGCUGAAAAAGUCUUCAGUGAUAUAAAUUUUACCACACUUAAAGAGAGAGAGGAAAAGUUUAAGUGGAAGCUCCUACUCAGCCAUGCUGUCUAAGGAAGAUUUGGCAAAACCUUGAGCUAAAGUCAGCCAACGGAAAUCCCACCUUUCUCCAAAGAAUGGAUCUGCUUUACUAUCUUGCUUGGUCUUAUUGCUUUGUGACCUAGUAAUAUCUUUCUCGAGUGCAUGAAACAUCUCAGAAAUGCAAACAUCAAGGAAGAUACUAAUCCUUUCUUCCAGUUUCUGUGUGAGGGUUGGAGGCUGACUUUGGUGGUGAUCUUGCUCCAAAUUAUAGAACUACAUCCUGUCAUGAAGAGAAGUUUGUCUUCUCGAUAAAGCCAAGUAGCUAACAGAGAUGGUCACCCCAAUUACCAGAUGGACAUAAUUAUACUUGAAUGCUGACCUACAACAUUUUGUGCUGUGCAGAGGCUUUGAAAAUCAAACAACUUUGAAAAUACAAAGCACCGCGUGGAUGGCCUCACUCUGUCGCUCAGGCUGGAGUGGCACGAUCUUGGCUCACUGCAGUCUCUGCCUCCUCCUCUUGGAUGCAAGCAAUUCGGCCUCCAAGUAGCUGAGAUUACAGAGAGGCUGAAAACUCAAGAAAUGUGGACUAAGUGUGUGGGCAAGUGUGUCACUGCUGACUAAAACUAUGAACAGACAGAGUCUCACUCUGUCAUCCAGGCUGGAGUCCAGUGGUAUGAUCUUGGCUCACUGCAAACCUUUGCCUCCCUGGUCCAAGUGAUUCUCCUGCUUCAGCCUCCAAAAGUAGCUAGGACUACAGCUAAUCCUAGUGAAUCCUCCAUGAGGCCAUUGUUCUGAAUGGAAGAAGAGAGAUAUAUGCAAUAGGAAAAGGUGACGUGGAAUCUAUGAGAGUCCCAUGUUUAUGUAGCAUAUUGUGCCUACUGUAUCUAUUCAGGAGGGGAUUCUUAAUAUAAGAGAUACAUUUACAAAAUUGCUUCCAUUACCUACAAACACCAUAAAGAAAAGUAACAGUGAUGCAUAUGGACAGAACUGCAUCACCAGAAGUUAGAGGAGGAAAGCAUUUCCUAUCCAACUUUAAAUGCUGAGAAUGAAUAACCAGGAAAAAUGGUACAGAGGACAAAAUACCAACAAAAGUCUCCAAAAGUGAUGUGAAGAAAAUAAGGGGCUCAUCAUUCUAAAUUCUGCAGGAGAGCAGUAGAAGAAAUCAAGGGAAUCCCACAUUAUGUGGGACUCUGCGACUGUAUUGGACACAUAGAAUAAUCUAGGAUAAUCUCUCUGUCUCAAGAUCUUCAAAUGAAUCGCAGCUGUAACGUCCCUUUUGCCAGGGAAGGCAAUAUAUUCACAGAUUCUGAGGAUUAGGAAUGAGACCUCCUUGGAGCCAUUGUUUAACCUUUCAUAGGCUGGAUAAUAUAGUUUUGCAAACUCAAUUUGGGCAGCUGGACAGUGAUCAGGCAACUUUCCGAGUCCCUGACUCCCACCUAGACUGAGAUUCCAAUGCUAGGUGCCCAGAAGUUUCCAACCAAUGCAAAGGUGGCAGCUGGCAAGGGCCCUGUGCAGCAGUAAGGCGAGUCAUAGACUGAUGAGAGAUCACCAUUGGGAAUGAGCUCCAUUUGCCCACAACAGUGAUCGGCUGAUGGCUCCACCCUCUACUUAGUCGCUUCUGUUUCCUGUCCCAUGGAUUCCUCACCCCACACUAAUGCUUCCAGGAACAACUUCUCAAAUAAAUCACUUGCACAUUUCUAGAUGAUAUGAAUUAUAUUCAGACCUGAAGAGAGGACAGAAAAAUUCUGGACUUCAAACUCAAUGCAAUGAUUGGAUAAGACUUUCGGAGUAACUUCUUUUGGGAUUGCGUAAGAGAUCAAGACUACAGACUUUGAGGUAAAAACAACCUAGAUUCGUGAGAAGAGGAAGAGUAAAAGAACUGCAGCUUUCCUCCCACUCUUAAGGUAUAAAUAUGAAGUCUAGGUCAUUUCGAGUUGGAGAAGCCCCAGCUACUUCAUAAGUGUGAUGCUAGUUUUGAAUGUGCAUUGAGGGACAGCUGGUGUUGAGAAAAAAGGAAAUUACCUUAAUACCAAUAAUUUCAGCACAGAUUGUCAUGUGGUUGGGAAAAUAUUUGAUAUGAAGACAUUGAAUCCACCUUCUAAAGAAUAACAAGAUAUAUUCAUGAAUGGAAGGAUUUGGUAGGGUACAUGAGGACAGAUAUAAAACUGCACAACCAAUGUUACACAAAGGAGGUUUAUUCUUCUUCACAAGAAAGUGAUGUGUAGAGAUAUUCACUGAAUUAUUGAAGAUUAUAUGUGGCAGAGUCAGCUUGGGGAUCCAGGUUGUCUAAUCCAAAGAUUGUUUAACCAAGAAACAAGGUCAAGGCAUGUUCUUCGAUGCUUGUUCAUUAACAGCUCUGCGGGUGAUGCUCCUAGAGAGGUCUGAUGUGUUGUGUGAUGUUCUCACACAAACUAUGUUAAUUUUUGAUCAGUGAUUGUGAGUUUUAAUUGUGUUGAGGUAACUAGAGAUUUGUUAAGUGGACGUUACUUCAAAAAGGUAAGUUGAAGCAGUAAAUGUUAAAACCAAGGAAUCCCCCAAAUUCUUGCCCUUUAUUUUUUGCAUGUUAAUUCCAGAAAAGAAAAAAAAAAAAGCUUGUGGGUUAACGUGGUAUUUAUGCAAGGCUGCCAAUGUAAAUAUAAUUCUGUGAUUUAAUUUUUUACUGGCAUGACAUUAUAUAUAUGUAUAAAAUGUGCAUACAUAAUAUAUACAUAUGUAUAUAUGUUAUAUAUUAGAUGUGUAUGCAUAUAUAAUAUAUAUUAGAUGUAUAAAAUAUAUUACAUAUAUAAUAAAAUAUUAGAUAUGUAUUAUAUAGUAGUAUAUAUAAAAUAUAUACAUAUCUAAUAAUACAUUAUAGAUCAUGUAUUAAUAUAUACAUAUAUCUAGUAUAUACAAUAUAUACAUAUCUAUUAUAUUUAUACACACAUACAUAUACAUAUGUGUAUGUGUAUGUCUGUGCCUGUGUGUCUUUUUGUCUUGCAAGCUCAAUCUUUAAAAAGAAGAGUUCGAGGAGGGAUGGAGAAGGAAGAGAGUGAUUAUAUAUACAUAUACUGUCCAUGUUUGCUUAGCUAGUAUGAAGCAGAAUCUGGAUUCAAAUUCAAGAAGUCUGAUUCCCAAACAGCCACCCAAUUAGGACCGCUUUGAAAACUCCGAGUCUUCUAUUUGAUAUAAGUAUAGCUCAUUGCCAUGGAAAUAAACAUAUGUUUCUUUUUUAAAUUAAAAAAAAUAUUUUUAUUUUGUUUUCAACAUUUAGCAUUUUUUUGCAUCAAAGUUCUAAGUAGCUGCAUGUCUGUUUAUAAUGUGUAUAUUUGUUGUUUGUUUUUCUGUUUUGUUUCUGUAUAGUUUCUUUGUUUGUAUCACUGGUAAUUUAAUCCCUCAUGCUAUGCUGUGGGAUUAUGUACAACAACACAACUUCUUAGCCUCUUCAAACCCUUUCACUGCAAGCUGCUUUUUUGUGCUUUUUGAAAGAAAAGGAAGAAAAACACAUUGCAUUUUCUUAAGAUAAAAUGAUACCUGCUUCUUCAUUUCCUCCUACUCCUUCCUAUUAUCUUUUGUAGAAAGAAUUGCUGAAUCUAUUGAUAUGUAAUUUUCAUUUAAUUCUCCAACAUCUUAUUGCUAUUUAAAAUGGUUUAAGAAAACUGGCUUAAUAUAGCCAAGAAAAAUUCUAUAGUAAUACUUGUCUGUAAUUUCUCUAUAUUUAAAUAAAAUAUCAUUUCUAUCUUGGAGGUUUGAUUUGGCCAUUUAAAAAUGCUAAUGUUUUAUUGUUUUUUCAAAAAAAUACUACAUGCAUGCUCAUAGUAUAAACAUCAAUGUUUCAUUAGGAUAUAUAGUGAAAAGUCAGUAACUUUACAACCUCUGUUUCAAACCCAACCAGUAAUUUAAGUUGUUUUCAUAACAAAGUGUUAUUAUUUAUCUUCUAAUACCUAUAAAAUAUUUAUUUACUCCCCAAAUUAAAUAGAGUGUUGGUUCUUCAAUGAAGGUAUGAAGUUACUUUCAAUUAAAUAUGCAGUUUGAUUAGAAGAAAAAAAAAUCCAUCAGAUCUCAGCCAAGCUCUUUUGGAUGAUUAUUUUUCUUCAAAAUCAAAUACACUAAAAUUUCCAAACAGUAACAGUUACAAUGUUUCAGUUUCUUUUAAGGUAGCCUGAACUGAGACACAUUAAGGUUUAUAUCUAAUUUCAUAGUUCUGUUCAGUAGGAAAUAAGUAAAUUAGUUUAAAGGACUGAUCCAUAUCAGGAGAUCAGGACUGGACAAAGUGUUAAUUUAUCUACAGAUUUUACCAGGCAGAUUGCCAAUAUCCAAGUUCAUUAGACAGGUCCUAGGACUAAUAAGAACUCUUGGGGGCUACAAUGUGAAAUACCUGAGUAUAUGAGUCAGGUAAAGACUUUAGAAAGUUUGGCUUCUACUCUCAUAUUCCCAGGAGUUGAAUAGAUUGGAGUGGAAAAAAUGUGGUCAAAAACUAGUGAUUUUGGAUUAGAAGUAGGGCAUAAAGCUCCUAUUAUUGCACUUGGGCAAUAUUAACUGGAUUGCAAGAAACUGUAAUAUGCAGAAACAGCAUAUUUCCCUUAGGGAGUACAUUUUGUUAAACUUAGUAUUCUUGCUACCUGUUUUGUUACCUAAGCUUAAUGGACCUGGCCCUAGACUUUAGCUUGGUGCAUGGUGAAAAUUGACCUUAAGCAACUGCAGCAUUGUCCAAAUAUUUGGUUUCACAUAGACCAGUUUUGGUUCUUGUUUCUGUGUGACUUUGAGGGGCUCUUUAAGAAAUCCAAGGACAAGGUGCCACAUUUAUUAAGGCCCCGCCAUUCACAAUGCAUGAUGCUAGAGCCUGACAGUGCACCAUGCUAGAGACUGAAGAGACAUAAAAAAAAGAAAAGGCAGAGUUCUUGCUAUCAGGUUCUUAAAAUUUUCUUUGUUUUGGUUAAAUUCUUGAUUGGAUUUUUUCACUAAAUGUUUGGCCCUAUUAAAAAUAAGUAAAGAAAAAAUGAAGGAAGAAUGGAAGAGAGGGAGAAUAGGAAAUGAAUGAAACAAAGCCAAGUAAGAGAUACGUCUACUACAGACCUGCAAGUUGGCAGUGCUUGCAGAAGACAGUUGACAUAUUCUAGCCUGGUUCACAUUUUCUGGUUAACUUUUGAGCAUAGAAUAAAGAAUAUAAUAAAAUGCUUUUUUUUUUUUUUGCACAAUGAACUUUAAACAAAUCAGGAGAGUAUAUUGGUAAUUUAGAGAAGUAGCAAUUCUCAUUAAAUCUGUUUUUCAUUGAAUUAUCAUGCCCUUAAAAUUAUAUGAUAGAUUAUUAUCUUCGGUAGUAUUAGUUUAAAUAAGAAUUAUAUACAACCAAAAUAUCAGUAAGGCUAAUUCUCUGAGACCAUAAGAGAACCAAGUCAAUAUCCCCAUAGCUACAUCAUAUUGAUCAUUCAUUUGAUUUAAGAAGAAAGAAGACAAAUAUGUUAGUGAAAGGGAGACAAAUGAGUAUGUGCCUGGCCUGGCCAAUUCCUGACUCAUUUACAGAGGAAGCUAAUAUAACUCUCUUACUCAUUUUAUGGGAAAUAUGAUAGAUCUGAUUAUAUAAUUUAUGCCUCCUUUCAGACUUCCUACACCCCACUAAUUGUCUCUUCCUUUCUUUUCUCCACCUUUUGCUCAGGUAUUUGGCAGUUAUUGCACUUUUUUGGAUCUUUUUUUUAAGGAUGUUACUAUCAAUCUUUUGCCUACAUCUAAAUGACUUACCUAUGAAGAAGAUCCCAUUUUUAGCCUUAAUAUUUGCAAAUUACUUGAGAGAUGGAGUCUCACUCUAUCACCCAGGCUGGAGGACAGUGGCACGACCUCAGCUCCCUGCAACCUCCACCUCCCAGGUUACUGAUGGAUCCGUCCUAAAUGCCAUCCAUCUCAAGACAGAGGCCCACAGAAGUCAAUGUAUCUUCAAGAUGGGAGUACCUGGAGAUGGCUGUAGAGACCAUGUAGCAGGAAAUGGUGACAGAGAAGAGCUGGGCCUCUGGUACCAACAUGCUUCCCCCCCGUUACAGCUAUGCGGGCUGAUAGUGACGCAAUGUGUGGUUUCAAUACUUCAUAGUGUCUUACUUCACCUCAGUAUAAAGUACUUUGAAAGCAUCAAGGAAAUGGUCCUCAAAAAAGGCUUAUCCAGUCAGGACAUCUGGUGCUGGCUCUGGAAUGAGUGGAUGAAGAUAAGGCCUUCCAGUAUGGAGGUGAUAAAAAUCAGGGAAGACAGGUAAUCACAAUGGAUGACAGACCAGGAUUCCCAGAUAUCUUGGCAUGGCUGGAACAAUGUACAGAUCAAACCAUGUAAAACUUAAUGGGUAUAAACCAACUCUUCACUUUGGUCUAAAAAAGUCCAUUUGCAUGGCUUCUAGUUAAAGGUGGACAGGCUCACUUUAGAAUCCUAUUAUAUACAAAGGAUUUAGGGGGUUUAGUUCACAAUGUGCUAAAGCCAUCUCACAGUGACCAUGGUAUGAGCUGUGUGAUUUGGUUUAAAUAUAAUAGAGAAUGAAGGACAAGGUUGAGGGUGGUGGUUACAGUCCUGCCUGAUUCUGUAGUGCUCAGGUGACCUUUGAAGAAUGAAGAAAGAAGUCAAAACCCCACACUAUUAAGACAUUGGAAGACUGGGAAUGUUUAUUUUCUGAAGAAUAAAAGAUGUAGGAAACAAAAAAAAAAA
This 7319-nucleotide long non-coding RNA is filed under the name Homo sapiens (human). Its description in RNAcentral is "long independently transcribed non-coding RNA 971 (LINC00971)". Lineage: Eukaryota; Metazoa; Chordata; Mammalia; Primates; Hominidae. The record is from RNAcentral.